CCAGCACCGAGGUGUUGGAAGGACUGCGACUGUCCAGGGAGACAGAAAUGCUGCUUUGUCUCUGGCAUGGAGUGCUUGGAUCCCAUGGUAGCCCACAAAAUGAAUAAAUGAAAACAAACAGCUGGGGAUCAUUAGCGAUGCUUUCUAUAGGACGCGUUUAUGGAAACCCAGCUGACGGAGUCCGUGACCCGCCGGCGGCCGCUCCGCUCCGGCGCACUUCCUGAGAGCCUCUUCCUGCAUAUCGCCUGUCGCUGGUUACCGCCGUCUGAUCGCUUCCUGUUACCCCAAUAAACACUCGCACGCCUAU
Spea bombifrons (plains spadefoot toad) is the source of this 307-nucleotide long non-coding RNA. RefSeq lists it as uncharacterized. The record is from RefSeq and is a predicted model, not a curated record. The transcript is spliced from 2 exons. NCBI's taxonomy places the organism in Eukaryota, Metazoa, Chordata, Amphibia, Anura, Pelobatidae.